GUCGACGAACUCUGGUAUUGAUUGGUGCUUGCAUCAUGAUUUACAUUUGAGUGAGUGGCGAACUGGUGAGUAACACGUGGGAAACCUGCCCAGAAGCGGGGGAUAACACCUGGAAACAGAUGCUAAUACCGCAUAACAACUUGGACCGCAUGGUCCGAGUUUGAAAGAUGGCUUCGGCUAUCACUUUUGGAUGGUCCCGCGGCGUAUUAGCUAGAUGGUGGGGUAACGGCUCACCAUGGCAAUGAUACGUAGCCGACCUGAGAGGGUAAUCGGCCACAUUGGGACUGAGACACGGCCCAAACUCCUACGGGAGGCAGCAGUAGGGAAUCUUCCACAAUGGACGAAAGUCUGAUGGAGCAACGCCGCGUGAGUGAAGAAGGGUUUCGGCUCGUAAAACUCUGUUGUUAAAGAAGAACAUAUCUGAGAGUAACUGUUCAGGUAUUGACGGUAUUUAACCAGAAAGCCACGGCUAACUACGUGCCAGCAGCCGCGGUAAUACGUAGGUGGCAAGCGUUGUCCGGAUUUAUUGGGCGUAAAGCGAGCGCAGGCGGUUUUUUAAGUCUGAUGUGAAAGCCUUCGGCUCAACCGAAGAAGUGCAUCGGAAACUGGGAAGCUUGAGUGCAGAAGAGGACAGUGGAACUCCAUGUGUAGCGGUGAAAUGCGUAGAUAUAUGGAAGAACACCAGUGGCGAAGGCGGCUGUCUGGUCUGUAACUGACGCUGAGGCUCGAAAGUAUGGGUAGCAAACAGGAUUAGAUACCCUGGUAGUCCAUACCGUAAACGAUGAAUGCUAAGUGUUGGAGGGUUUCCGCCCUUCAGUGCUGCAGCUAACGCAUUAAGCAUUCCGCCUGGGGAGUACGGCCACAAGGCUGAAACUCAAAGGAAUUGACGGGGGCCCGCACAAGCGGUGGAGCAUGUGGUUUAAUUCGAAGCUACGCGAAGAACCUUACCAGGUCUUGACAUACUAUGCAAAUCUAAGAGAUUAGACGUUCCCUUCGGGGACAUGGAUACAGGUGGUGCAUGGUUGUCGUCAGCUCGUGUCGUGAGAUGUUGGGUUAAGUCCCGCAACGAGCGCAACCCUUAUUAUCAGUUGCCAGCAUUAAGUUGGGCACUCUGGUGAGACUGCCGGUGACAAACCGGAGGAAGGUGGGGAUGACGUCAAAUCAUCAUGCCCCUUAUGACCUGGGCUACACACGUGCUACAAUGGAUGGUACAACGAGUUGCGAACUCGCGAGAGUAAGCUAAUCUCUUAAAGCCAUUCUCAGUUCGGAUUGUAGGCUGCAACUCGCCUACAUGAAGUCGGAAUCGCUAGUAAUCGCGGAUCAGCAUGCCGCGGUGAAUACGUUCCCGGGCCUUGUACACACCGCCCGUCACACCAUGAGAGUUUGUAACACCCAAAGUCGGUGGGGUAACCUUUUAGGAACCAGCCGC
This 1429-nucleotide ribosomal RNA is filed under the name Lactiplantibacillus plantarum. RNAcentral's name for it is "bacterial SSU rRNA". It matches the Rfam family "Bacterial small subunit ribosomal RNA". Lineage: Bacteria; Bacillati; Bacillota; Bacilli; Lactobacillales; Lactobacillaceae. The record is from RNAcentral.